RNAcentral lists this ribosomal RNA (498 nucleotides) under uncultured bacterium. Its description in RNAcentral is "partial 16S ribosomal RNA". It matches the Rfam family "Bacterial small subunit ribosomal RNA", at positions 28 to 507 of the family's 1533-position model. The record is from RNAcentral.
GACGAACGCUGGCGGCGUGCCUAAUACAUGCAAGUCGAACGAGAGCGCCCGGUGCUUGCACUGGUCAAUCUAGUGGCGAACGGGUGAGUAACACGUGGGUAACCUGCCCAUCAGAGGGGGAUAACAUCCGGAAACGGAUGCUAAAACCGCAUAGGUCUUCGAACCGCAUGGUUUGAAGAGGAAAAGAGGCGCAAGCUUCUGCUGAUGGAUGGACCCGCGGUGCAUUAGCUAGUUGGUGAGGUAACGGCUCACCAAGGCCGUGAUGCAUAGCCGACCUGAGAGGGUGAUCGGCCACAUUGGGACUGAGACACGGCCCAAACUCCUACGGGAGGCAGCAGUAGGGAAUCUUCCGCAAUGGACGCAAGUCUGACGGAGCAACGCCGCGUGGGUGAAGAAGGUUUUCGGAUCGUAAAACUCUGUUGUUAGGGAAGAACAAGUGCUAGAGUAACUGUUAGCGCCUUGACGGUAUCUAACCAGAAAGCCACGGCUAACUACGUG